RNAcentral lists this ribosomal RNA (579 nucleotides) under uncultured bacterium. Its description in RNAcentral is "partial 16S ribosomal RNA". It matches the Rfam family "Bacterial small subunit ribosomal RNA", at positions 355 to 932 of the family's 1533-position model. The record is from RNAcentral.
UGGGGAAUUUUGGACAAUGGGCGAAAGCCUGAUCCAGCAAUGCCGCGUGUGUGAAGAAGGCCUUCGGGUUGUAAAGCACUUUUGUCCGGAAAGAAAUCCUUGGCUCUAAUACAGUCGGGGGAUGACGGUACCGGAAGAAUAAGCACCGGCUAACUACGUGCCAGCAGCCGCGGUAAUACGUAGGGUGCAAGCGUUAAUCGGAAUUACUGGGCGUAAAGCGUGCGCAGGCGGUUUGCUAAGACCGAUGUGAAAUCCCCGGGCUCAACCUGGGAACUGCAUUGGUGACUGGCAGGCUAGAGUAUGGCAGAGGGGGGUAGAAUUCCACGUGUAGCAGUGAAAUGCGUAGAGAUGUGGAGGAAUACCGAUGGCGAAGGCAGCCCCCUGGGCCAAUACUGACGCUCAUGCACGAAAGCGUGGGAAGCAAACAGGAUUAGAUACCCUGGUAGUCCACGCCCUAAACGAUGUCAACUAGUUGUUGGGGAUUCAUUUCCUUAGUAACGUAGCUAACGCGUGAAGUUGACCGCCUGGGGAGUACGGUCGCAAGAUUAAAACUCAAAGGAAUUGACGGGGUCAUAGCUG